UUUAUAUAUUAAUAUUUCUUGAAUCAAUAUCAUUAGUUUGAACUUAAGCUACAUAAUAAACUGAUCCAUUUUUCUAUAUGCUCAAGAUGGAAAUGAAUUUGAUUUCAUGAAAAAAGGGAGGAUUCUAGUUCAUUUGAACAAGAAUCACAAUUUUGCAGCUUGUAGAAAUCGUGUUCUAGCCUAAAUAUAAUUUCGAUCUUAGUUUCACAAAUUAAAUAUUAAAAUUUAAAAUUUGACUUCUAAAAUUUGAUUUCAUUCGAAAUGUGAGCCUCCUUCCUAGGAAUGGUGUCCAAGAGAUUUCAAUCUGGAAAGAUACAAGACACCCUACACCCAUGGAUGAAUAUCUCAACUAUGAGACUCAACAUCUCUCCCUCUUAUCUAUCGGCUACCAGAACCUCCGGCGCCGUCGACUGCUCUUUUUCUCUCUCAUCCCCGAACUGGGCCUGGGUGUCUUGGUUUUUCUCGUCCCCUUCGCCCCACUGGCCGCUGCCGCCUGAAAGAUAUCCCUUUAAAGUCCAAGGUUUACAGACACAAAAUGUAUGUGGAAAUGCCUCAAAACUGUUCGAUAAAAUGCCUGAAUUAUACAUGAAUGGUGUCCAAGAGAUUUCAAUCUGGAAAGAUACGAGACACCCUACACCCAUGGAUGAAUAUCUCAACUAUGAGACUCAACAUCUCUCCCUCUUAUCUAUCGGCUACCAGAACCUCCGCCGCCGUCGACUGCUCUUUUUCUCUCUCAUCCCCGAACUGGGCCUGGGUGUCUUGGUUUUUCUCGUCCCCUUCACCCCACUGGCCGCUGCCGCCUGAAAGAUAUCCCUUUAAAGUCCAAGGUUUACAGACACAAAAUGUAUGUGGAAAUGCCUCAAAACUGUUCGUCAAAAUGCCUGAAUCAUAAAUGUAAGUCUUAAAUCGUGUAAUUUAUUUUGUAAGAAAAAUAUUUUUCUGUUUUUGGUUUGACUUAGAAGGAAUGAAUCAAAACAGUUUGUUUAAAUGCCUCAAAA
Molecule: long non-coding RNA, 998 nt
Organism: Malania oleifera
Lineage: Eukaryota; Viridiplantae; Streptophyta; Magnoliopsida; Santalales; Ximeniaceae
Exons: 2
Source: RefSeq, a predicted model, not a curated record